Molecule: ribosomal RNA, 118 nt
Filed under: Periophthalmus magnuspinnatus
Lineage: Eukaryota; Metazoa; Chordata; Actinopteri; Gobiiformes; Gobiidae
Source: RNAcentral
UGCCAUGGCCAUACCAGCUUGUUAACGCCUGAUCUCGUCAGGUCUCUGAAGCAAAGCAAGGCCAGGUUUGGUUCGUACUUGGUUGGGAGACCACUAGGAAUAUCAGAUGCCACAGUGG